GGUAGAAAUCUCAGUGCUUUGAUUGAUCACACCCAAGAAAUGUUACAUAUGAAGAAAAUUACAUUGGGCCAUCCAUCACACUCGAUGGAAUCGAAACUUAUGAGGAAAACUACAUUGGGUCAUCAGACUUUUGACAGAAAUCUUCAGUAGUUUGAUCACAAAAAAGUGAAGUUACUUCUAAACUUAUGAAGAAAAUUAGAUUGGCUCUUCGCACUUGAUAGAAACCUCCUUGUGUCUCAGUGGUAGUGACAACAGAAACUCAAAAGCUCACCGGAAAUCUCACGCUCUUGCGAAAAGCAUCGUCAUCGACACAGAGGAAUAGAAACAAACCGGAUGCCUCAGGACUAGAGAGCCUGUUUUCUACACCAAAGCUUCAGGUAAUACGUGCAAAGCUAGUAAGCAUCACCGGCACCCGGCUAUGGUUUCCACUGCCUUUUGUUUGUCACUGAGAAAGCACAAAAUGCAAUGGAGGUAUGCAAAGUGCAAAGAAAUGACAGGCAUCAAUCUAGCACACAUUGGUUUCUUCCAGGACUUGACGCUAAGGACAGUGCCAAAGAGCCAAUUGCCCGAGUGUGCGCAUCAACAAACACAAGCAAAGAAAAACGCAAGAAAACGAGAGAAAGAAAAAACCAUACCCGAUACGGGUUAACAAAGUUUUGAUCUCGGGAAAAACAUCGACUCGAUCACAAACUCACAGGCCCAGCUUGGUCCUUCGCCAGUGCCUCCUCUUGGCAUUGUAGCUACAAGAAAGAUAAAACCAAAAGAAGAUCAGGAAAAUCCGAUGACAACGAAUACCGGAUGGUGUUGUCGGUCCGCAUCCUGAUCCAGUGAGGGAUUGGGCGAUUCUGGCGCAGCUUCUUGCCCAGUUUCUGCUUGAUCCGGAACGUCUUGUGCGACGGC
Molecule: long non-coding RNA, 900 nt
Filed under: Selaginella moellendorffii
Lineage: Eukaryota; Viridiplantae; Streptophyta; Lycopodiopsida; Selaginellales; Selaginellaceae
Description: long non-coding RNA (SMOE_LNC001847)
Source: RNAcentral